GACGAACGCUGGCGGCGUGCUUAACACAUGCAAGUCGAACGGAAAGGCCCUGCUUUUGUGGGGUGCUCGAGUGGCGAACGGGUGAGUAACACGUGAGUAACCUGCCCUUGACUUUGGGAUAACUUCAGGAAACUGGGGCUAAUACCGGAUAGGAGCUCCUGCUGCAUGGUGGGGGUUGGAAAGUUUCGGCGGUUGGGGAUGGACUCGCGGCUUAUCAGCUUGUUGGUGGGGUAGUGGCUUACCAAGGCUUUGACGGGUAGCCGGCCUGAGAGGGUGAACGGCCACAUUGGGACUGCGAGACGGACCAGACUCCUACGGGAGGCAGCAGUGGGGAAUAUUGCACAAUGGGCGGAAGCCUGAUGCAGCAACGCCGCGUGCGGGAUGACGGCCUUCGGGUUGUAAACCGCUUUCGCCUGUGACGAAGCGUGAGUGACGGUAAUGGGUAAAGAAGCACCGGCUAACUACGUG
This 468-nucleotide ribosomal RNA is filed under the name uncultured bacterium. RNAcentral's name for it is "partial 16S ribosomal RNA". It matches the Rfam family "Bacterial small subunit ribosomal RNA", at positions 28 to 507 of the family's 1533-position model. The record is from RNAcentral.